Molecule: ribosomal RNA, 465 nt
Filed under: Vreelandella stevensii
Lineage: Bacteria; Pseudomonadati; Pseudomonadota; Gammaproteobacteria; Oceanospirillales; Halomonadaceae
Description: partial 16S ribosomal RNA
Rfam family: Bacterial small subunit ribosomal RNA
Source: RNAcentral
CCUACGGGAGGCAGCAGUGGGGAAUAUUGGACAAUGGGGGCAACCCUGAUCCAGCCAUGCCGCGUGUGUGAAGAAGGCCCUCGGGUUGUAAAGCACUUUCAGUGAGGAAGAACGCCUGGUGGUUAAUACCCAUCAGGAAAGACAUCACUCACAGAAGAAGCACUGGCUAACUCCGUGCCAGCAGCCGCGGUAAUACGGAGGGUGCGAGCGUUAAUCGGAAUUACUGGGCGUAAAGCGCGCGUAGGUGGCUUGAUAAGCCGGUUGUGAAAGCCCCGGGCUCAACCUGGGAACGGCAUCCGGAACUGUCAAGCUAGAGUGCAGGAGAGGAAGGUAGAAUUCCCGGUGUAGCGGUGAAAUGCGUAGAGAUCGGGAGGAAUACCAGUGGCGAAGGCGGCCUUCUGGACUGACACUGACACUGAGGUGCGAAAGCGUGGGUAGCAAACAGGAUUAGAUACCCGUGUAGUC